GCGCCUGUGGUGAAAUUGGCAGACACGCCAGAUUUAGGUUCUGGUGAGAGAUCGUGCAGGUUCAAGUCCUGUCAGGCGCACCA
Molecule: transfer RNA, 83 nt
Filed under: Ruminococcaceae bacterium YAD3003
Lineage: Bacteria; Bacillati; Bacillota; Clostridia; Eubacteriales; Oscillospiraceae
Also listed under: 1 other name
Description: tRNA_Leu_TAG
Rfam family: tRNA
About the family: Transfer RNA (tRNA) molecules are approximately 80 nucleotides in length. Their secondary structure includes four short double-helical elements and three loops (D, anti-codon, and T loops). Further hydrogen bonds mediate the characteristic L-shaped molecular structure. tRNAs have two regions of fundamental functional importance: the anti-codon, which is responsible for specific mRNA codon recognition, and the 3' end, to which the tRNAs corresponding amino acid is attached (by aminoacyl-tRNA synthetases). tRNAs cope with the degeneracy of the genetic code in two manners: having more than one tRNA (with a specific anti-codon) for a particular amino acid; and 'wobble' base-pairing, i.e. permitting non-standard base-pairing at the 3rd anti-codon position.
Source: RNAcentral